UACAGAGGUCCCAAGCGUUGUUCGGAAUUAUUGGGCGUAAAGGGUGCGUAGGCGGCAGGAUAAGUUAGAUGUGAAAUAUCUGUGCUUAACACAGAAAUUGCAUUUAGGACUGUCUUGCUUGAGCCCGUGAGAGGUCCAUGGAAUUGCCGGUGUAGUGGUGAAAUGCGUAGAGAUCGGCAGGAACACCCAGGGGGAAACCAGUGGACUG
Molecule: ribosomal RNA, 208 nt
Filed under: uncultured prokaryote
Description: partial 16S ribosomal RNA
Rfam family: Bacterial small subunit ribosomal RNA
Source: RNAcentral